GACGAACCACCCAAACGUUAUUCGGAAUUACUGGGCUUAAAGGGUGCGUAGGCGGUGCGGAAAGUCAGGUGUGAAAUCCCUCGGCUCAACCGAGGAACUGCGCUUGAAACUACCGUGCUCGAGUGAGACAGAGGUGAGCGGAACUUCGGGUGGAGCGGUGAAAUGCGUUGAUAUCCGAAGGAACACCGGUGGCGAAAGCGGCUCACUGGGUCUUUUCUGACGCUGAUGCACGAAAGCUAGGGGAGCAAACGGG
Molecule: ribosomal RNA, 253 nt
Filed under: uncultured bacterium
Lineage: Bacteria
Description: partial 16S ribosomal RNA
Rfam family: Bacterial small subunit ribosomal RNA
Source: RNAcentral